RNAcentral lists this ribosomal RNA (250 nucleotides) under uncultured bacterium. RNAcentral describes it as "partial 16S ribosomal RNA". It matches the Rfam family "Bacterial small subunit ribosomal RNA", at positions 524 to 773 of the family's 1533-position model. The record is from RNAcentral.
UACGGAGGGUGCAAGCGUUAUCCGGAUUUAUUGGGUUUAAAGGGUCCGUAGGCGGCCCGAUCAGUCAGAGGUGAAAUCCCGCAGCUUAACUGUGGAACUGCCUUUGAUACUGUCGGGCUAGAAUUAGUUUGAAGUAGCUAGAAUACGUAGUGUAGCGGUGAAAUGCAUAGAUAUUACGUGGAAUACCAAUUGCGAAGGCAGGUUACUAAGUCUAUAUUGACGCUGAUGGACGAAAGCGUGGGGAGCGAAC